RNAcentral lists this long non-coding RNA (227 nucleotides) under Elaeis guineensis (African oil palm). Its description in RNAcentral is "long non-coding RNA (EGUI_LNC028137)". The record is from RNAcentral. Lineage: Eukaryota; Viridiplantae; Streptophyta; Magnoliopsida; Arecales; Arecaceae.
AUCACUCCAUCAAUCAAAAUUUUUUUAUAAUUUAUUGGAAUUUUUUGAUUGGUUGAAUGAUGUGGCACUGCGCAGAAUACAGGGUCUAUAUAAACCCUGCUGCGCCUAGGGUUUCGAGGUAGAAGUUAUUUUAUGCACAAAACUCAAUAGCUGCCACCCUCUCCAUGUCCUCCCUUCUCUCCUUCCUCCCCUCUUCACAUCCAAAGAGUUGGAUGUCCAUCUGGCAA